GAGCAAGAAAGAGCAAGGCAAGCAUGAGAUCUGCAGGGAGAAACCAUCACCAAGUCAACAUCUUCAUAAGAAGAGAACUGCUCAAGGCACAGUAGAGUCCUCAACAGUCAAGCAUCAGAGAGUCAUAGAGUGCUUAGGGUUGGAUGAACCUCUGCAGCCUGCCUGGUCCAGCUCCCUCCCACAUGGCCCAGGGCCAUGUUCACAUGGCUGUUGAAUAUAUCCAAGAAGGAGACUCCAUAAUCUCUGCAAGAAACCUGUGCUAAUGCUCAAUCAUCUACAUGGUCUGCAGCCCCAGCAGGUGCAGCAUCUUCUGCAGAUUAAUUAAGCACAAUGGCUGUUCCUUCGUGUGGGUGCCAGCAGCGCCAGGUGCAGGGCAGCCCUCCAGAACGUCUUUUUCAGAAUCCAGAAUAUGCAGCAAUUCCAGAGCAAGGAAUUCAGCAGAGCCAGUGCCAACCAGCAUUCAUACAGCACUGGGAGCUAGGGGGAAGUCAGAGGCAUCAAGUGAAGUAUCCAUGAGCAGAGCUGUUGGUGAAAACGUGGAGUUGUUUAAUUACCCCAGGGUCAGAUGCAGUCCCAGCUGCAGUGGAGGCCAGCAGCAGACCAGCGUGGGAGUGAAGAAUCAUGGAUUACAGUGCUGUAAUUAAGCACUGUGAUCACCCUGGGACUUGGGCUGAGCACCGCACAGGAUGAAGCGUGGCCUGGGCAAGGGCAGGCCUGGCGGUGGUUUUAAGGGUGACAGAGAUGAGAAACCUACAUUCAGCACGAUAAGCUAUUCUAAGAGGCAAUUAGCUAGCAGAUUAAUUAUCCUCACUAUUAAAACCCAUCUCAUUUCUAAUCUGUCUUUGCCCAGCUUCCAUUUCCAGCACUGGACCUCAUCUUAUCUCCAAGUGCCAGGUAGAAGGGCUGGCGAUGCCGAAGGACCGCUCCUGCCCCACGCUCCCCGUGCCACCAGGAGGUGUGGGGCCGUCCUGGCAGAGCACCAUCACUGCUCUGCCUGCAGCGCCCAGGACGGCACGCAGCACCAGGUUUGCGCUGCUGUGCGUCACUGGCAAUCCACAGCUCUUCUCUGAAUCCUCACCAAUUCCCUCUUGCUUUGCUUUUUAAAACACGGACUCCAGAGUAACAGUUGCCAAAGCUCGCAGUGUCUGGGCACCUUCCUCAGGCUGCCGUGUGUGGAAACAAGAAGCUGGUACAUAUUCCUGCUCUGUAUUCGAGGCAGUGGCAAGGGGUGAUAUUCAUAUUGCAGGGUGGUGGUGGUGCACCGCCUAUUCCAUCAGUGACUGAGGAAGAUGCUGAAAAGGAACUAAUUAACAAUCUUAGUGGGAGGAUAACUUGCAUCCAAGAGUUUUUAGUUUGCUAAUGAGUUCACUGGACCUUUUGUUUUUCUUUAUGACAAAUCAUGGCACCUUGGGGAACUUAAGAUAACUGAGGGAAGAAAUCUGAUGUCUGACUGGUAUUUAAUGUGGUCACAGAUAUCCAAGAAAAUAGAGAGCAGUUAGUUCAGCACAGACCCCAGCAGUCCCAGGUAAACAGCCAAGGGAUGCUCGGGUGAAUCAGUGAAAGCCAGAGCCCCAAAUAACAGCAUUCAUUCUUUCCAAGUGAAAGAGUUACUUAUAAACAUUUGGGGCUUUUGUUCAUUUGUUGAUCUCUUUUUUUCUUUCUUUGUAAGCCUAUAAGCACUCAAUAGAGCUGAGUACAUACAGAUGACAUG
Molecule: long non-coding RNA, 1711 nt
Organism: Lagopus leucura (white-tailed ptarmigan)
Lineage: Eukaryota; Metazoa; Chordata; Aves; Galliformes; Phasianidae
Exons: 4
Source: RefSeq, a predicted model, not a curated record